GCAGCUCAGUGGUAGAGCAGCUCGCUUCGCAUGUGAAAGGCCUGGGGUUCAAAUCCCCACUCCUCCA
Non-coding RNA from Trichonephila clavipes, 67 nucleotides. Lineage: Eukaryota; Metazoa; Arthropoda; Arachnida; Araneae; Nephilidae. The record is from the annotation of a GenBank genome assembly.